RNAcentral lists this ribosomal RNA (253 nucleotides) under uncultured bacterium. RNAcentral describes it as "partial 16S ribosomal RNA". It matches the Rfam family "Bacterial small subunit ribosomal RNA", at positions 524 to 776 of the family's 1533-position model. The record is from RNAcentral.
UACGAAGGGGGCUAGCGUUGCUCGGAAUUACUGGGCGUAAAGGGCGCGUAGGCGGCCCUCUAAGUCAGACGUGAAAUCCCCCGGCUUAACCUGGGAACUGCGUCUGAUACUGGAGGGCUUGAGUAUGGGAGAGGGAUGUAGAAUUCCAGGUGUAGCGGUGAAAUGCGUAGAUAUCUGGAGGAAUACCGGUGGCGAAGGCGGCAUCCUGGACCAUUACUGACGCUGAGGCGCGAAAGCUAGGGGAGCAAACGGG